CUGCAAGUGAUUGGAAACAACAGCAACUCAGCCAUGAAGUGGUAGGAAAUGUAAAAUCAUCAUAUCAGGAAAAUUCAGACAAUGGGAACAGUUUGGGGAUGGCCUCUUCCUGUUCCAAUAUAACUGCACACCGGUGCACAAAGCAAGGUUCAAAAAGACAUGGAUGAGUGGGUUUGCUGUGGAAGUAGAAAAUGGAAUUAGACUUCUCAUCCAAGAUCAGAGUCUGACUUCACAAACUCCCAUAAACACUCCUAAACCUUGUGAAAAGUUUCCCCGGAGGAGUUAAAGCUGUUCUGCAAACAGUGGGCUGACAUCACAACAAACCUUGAGGAUUAAGAAUGGGAUUUCACUCAAAUUGAUGUGCGUAUGUGAAGGCAGAAGAGUGAAUACUUUUGGCCAUAUAGUGUAUUUUUGCAGAUAAUUUCCACAGGAGAGUCCAUCGGAGAGAGAGUGAGCUUUUACUUGGACAUGGUGAGGAGGCAUCUUUGAGGAGGGCCACUGGGAGGGUGGGCAUGCCAGUGGAAGCUGCAGGGGAGUAUUCUGAUGAUUGAUUCUAAAGGAAAGUGAGUCUGAGGACAGAUGAUGAUGAUGAUGAUGAUGAUGAUGAGGCAGCUGAGCAGCAGGAGCAGGAACAUUAGAAGCUGCUGGAGUAACUGCUGCUGUUCUCCUGCCUGUCAUAUUCUUCUCUGUCUUCCUGUGGAUUCAAAAAAAGAGGAUGUCCAAGGAACCUGUUAAAUCUGAAGACAGAGCCAACAACAGAGAACAGUGUUUACCUGAUCAGAGACAGCCAGAGGAGCAGGAUGAUCUUCAGUAUACCAGCAUCCACUUCUCCAAUAACCAGGCAGAUCCUCUCUACUCCAACAUCAGAGCAGCUCAGCCUCACAGACACAUGCAGGAACAGGAAGUUACUGAGUACACUGCUGUUAGAUUUAACAGAGGCAGUGCAGCCAAGAGAGAUAGAAGUCAGGAAACAGGAGAGUCUCCAUGUGCACUGUACUCCACAGUCAACAAAACCAGAUGAAGAGACGGGUUGAUGAUGAUGAUGUGAUAUUUAUGUAGAUUUUAAAAAAGAUUCGGCUCAAUUGUAGCUAAAUUUAUAAGUUUAUAAAAUAGGUGAAAAUUUCUUAUACGGUUAUGUUUACUAGAAAAAUGUUACUGUUGUGUAAAGUAUUUUCCUCUUUUUUUAGAUUUUUAUUGUUGUUAAAUGUAACACUUUACUAGACUAGACCAAGAUCUGAGUGUAUACAAAAUGCAGAAGAAUAAUUUUUAAGGGACAAGCAGCUAUCCAGACCUACCUGGAUGCAGGAAUCCAAUAAAGUCUUUUCACAACAGACAUGUCAAAGUGGAUCAG
Long non-coding RNA from Oreochromis aureus, 1351 nucleotides. The record is from Ensembl. Lineage: Eukaryota; Metazoa; Chordata; Actinopteri; Cichliformes; Cichlidae.